Molecule: small nuclear RNA, 103 nt
Organism: Siniperca chuatsi (mandarin fish)
Lineage: Eukaryota; Metazoa; Chordata; Actinopteri; Centrarchiformes; Sinipercidae
Source: RefSeq, a predicted model, not a curated record
AUGCUCAGGCAGCACAUAUGAUAAAUUGGAAUCGAUACAGAGAAGAUUAGCAUGGUCCCCUGCAGAGGUGAUAAGACACAUAUGACAGAUGAAACUUACACUG